Molecule: transfer RNA, 77 nt
Filed under: Sphingomonas vulcanisoli
Lineage: Bacteria; Pseudomonadati; Pseudomonadota; Alphaproteobacteria; Sphingomonadales; Sphingomonadaceae
Also listed under: 3 other names
Description: tRNA-Arg
Rfam family: tRNA
About the family: Transfer RNA (tRNA) molecules are approximately 80 nucleotides in length. Their secondary structure includes four short double-helical elements and three loops (D, anti-codon, and T loops).
Source: RNAcentral
GGCUCCGUAGCUCAGCCGGACAGAGCAACGGUUUCCUAAACCGCAGGUCGGGGGUUCGAGUCCCUCCGGGGCCACCA